CUACGGGAUGCUCCAGUAAGGAAUAUUGCGCAAUGGAGGCAACUCUGACGCAGCCAUGCCGCGUGCAGGAAGAAGGCCUUAUGGGUCGUAAACUGCUUUUAUUUAGGAAUAAACCCCCGAACGUGUUCGGGGCUGAAGGUACUAAACGAAUAAGCACCGGCUAACUCCGUGCCAGCAGCCGCGGUAAUACGGAGGGUGCAAGCGUUAUCCGGAUUUAUUGGGUUUAAAGGGUGCGCAGGCGGGCCAUUAAGUCAGUGGUGAAAUCCCGGGGCUCAACUCCGGAACUGCCAUUGAUACUGAUAGUCUUGAGUUUGGUUGAAGUGGGCGGAAUGUAGCAUGUAGCGGUGAAAUGCAUAGAUAUGCUACAGAACACCAAUCGCGAAGGCAGCUCACUAAGCCAAAACUGACGCUCAUGCACGAAAGCGUGGGGAUCAAACAGGAUUAGAUACCCCGGUAGUC
RNAcentral lists this ribosomal RNA (459 nucleotides) under uncultured bacterium. Its description in RNAcentral is "partial 16S ribosomal RNA". It matches the Rfam family "Bacterial small subunit ribosomal RNA", at positions 339 to 795 of the family's 1533-position model. The record is from RNAcentral.